GCUACAGUCUCAUACAGCGGUGGAAAACUCUUGAGAGCGCUGAGUCUCUCGUCACUUCAGUGAAGUCUGUUCCUCACAUCAAGUCAUCGUACAGUUUCAGUGGAUCAUCUGAAGCUCAGCAGCUGCUGGUCACGUUCACUUUUAUUGCAUGGAAAACAGCAGCUCGAGGCAUUCUGCUGAACAUCUGCUUCAGUUUUCAACAGGAGAAAGUCAGUCAUACAGCUUUCAAGUGACAUGAUCUUCAUCCUGUGGAGAUUACUGGAUGUACCUUGCGUCGUGUCACCUUGUCCCAGCCUUGAACAUGUCCUGACAACCACGUCAUGAGCAAAGAUCCCAGCUCAUAAUG
Cyprinus carpio (common carp) is the source of this 346-nucleotide long non-coding RNA. The record is from Ensembl. NCBI's taxonomy places the organism in Eukaryota, Metazoa, Chordata, Actinopteri, Cypriniformes, Cyprinidae.